AUGAUGUCACGUCUGCUGGGUAACUCCCCUUCCCAGUCUGUGAACCUGAACCUGAGGCUGAGCAGAAAAUACAGAGUAAUAUCAAGAUGGGUGAAUUGUCUGUUCAAGGUGAAACCAGUUUCAUUAGUUUCUAUGGACGGUGGAUAUGCGGAGGAUAUUGUUUCCAGUGUAACAGGAUUACUGUAGUGUCACAGCAGAUUACAACAUGGACUGAGGAAUAUCACCACCAAAUCUACUAUUUAUAUGUAUUUAUGUGUUCUUUCUUGUCCCAGAGGGCACACAGAGGGGCCAAUGUUUUUUGUCUUUUAUUAUAUACUGUGACCUUAUUUAUACUUGUUGUAGUUCUGUGUGUGGUUUUGCCCUAAUGUGACCACUGUCUCUAAUAUUGCUACUGAGUGAUACCGCACUGCUGAUCCGGGAUCGUUGGCCACGAUCUGCUGCCCCUGUCCUGGUGUUGGAUGUUUGGACCCUGAUACACCUUGAUUUCCAUAGUGUUCAAGUGACAUUGUGGACACUAAACUGCAUGGAGACUGCUGUGGCCUAGUGGCGUUAUGAACAAGAGCAGCGCCGACCAGCCCGCUUGCCCGUAGUUACCAUAGAAAGCUAUUAUGUACAUGCCCUGAACAAAUAUGGCCGAUGCUAUUGCUGCCUACUACUACACGCAUGCAACCCACGUCUUGCCCUCACGCCAUUCACUGGUCCUUUACUCCGAUUGGCCUCUGCUGUGUUCCUUGUUCCGGUUUAUAUGCCGGCACACGUGAGACGCCGUCCCUGCAAUAUGGUGCAGAGCGUGUUUAUUCCUUAUUGGUGAGUGUAAACUCUGUACCGGUACAUUGUAUACUUUUUGUAUGUAUUUGUAUGUAUUACCUCAUUAAGCACUGUUGGCACUUUAUUGUUAUGGACUGUAUGUAAUAUGAAUUUUAAUGAGUCAAGUGACCCAAUCUAUAUGAUAUAUACAAUAUUUUAUCCGUAUUUUACACUUAUUAUUCACUGUAUUUGCACUUUAGAACAUUAUAAUUGAGACACUUAAUUGUAAUCCCUAUAUACAGU
Hyla sarda is the source of this 1050-nucleotide long non-coding RNA. RefSeq lists it as uncharacterized. The transcript has 3 exons. Lineage: Eukaryota; Metazoa; Chordata; Amphibia; Anura; Hylidae. The record is from RefSeq and is a predicted model, not a curated record.